Molecule: long non-coding RNA, 246 nt
Filed under: Erythranthe guttata (spotted monkey flower)
Lineage: Eukaryota; Viridiplantae; Streptophyta; Magnoliopsida; Lamiales; Phrymaceae
Description: long non-coding RNA (EGUT_LNC001441)
Source: RNAcentral
GAUCUUCAAAGUUCAUCUCUCUAGACUUUAGACUACCAAUUAAGUCGUCCAGCCGUAGAGAUGAUGUGUCUUUGGCCUCCUCAAUAGCAGUAACCGUCAUGCUGAAUCUUUCUGGGAGAGUUCUCAAUACCUUAUUCACCAGUGUCUCAUUGCUUAAAGGACCACCUAAGGAUUGAAAUUCAUUAGCUAAAUCAAUCAAUUUCUCAUUGUACUGAGAAAUUGUUUCAGUUUCUUCCAUUCUCAGUC